GACGAACGCUGGCGGCGUGCUUAACACAUGCAAGUCGAACGGAAAGGCCCUGCUUUUGUGGGGUGCUCGAGUGGCGAACGGGUGAGUAACACGUGAGUAACCUGCCCUUGACUUUGGGAUAACUUCAGGAAACUGGGGCUAAUACCGGAUAGGAGCCCCUGCUGCAUGGUGGGGGUGGGAAAGUUUCGGCGGUUGGGGAUGGACUCGCGGCUUAUCAGCUUGUUGGUGGGGUAGUGGCUUACCAAGGCUUUGACGGGUAGCCGGCCUGAGAGGGUGACCGGCCACAUUGGGACUGAGAUACGGCCCAGACUCCUACGGGAGGCAGCAGUGGGGAAUAUUGCACAAUGGGCGGAAGCCUGAUGCAGCAACGCCGCGUGCGGGAUGACGGCCUUCGGGUUGUAAACCGCUUUCGCCUGUGACGAAGCGUGAGUGACGGUAAUGGGUAAAGAAGCACCGGCUAACUACGUG
Molecule: ribosomal RNA, 468 nt
Filed under: uncultured bacterium
Lineage: Bacteria
Description: partial 16S ribosomal RNA
Rfam family: Bacterial small subunit ribosomal RNA
Source: RNAcentral